Molecule: non-coding RNA, 958 nt
Organism: Camellia sinensis
Lineage: Eukaryota; Viridiplantae; Streptophyta; Magnoliopsida; Ericales; Theaceae
Source: RefSeq, a predicted model, not a curated record
UUUUCUGACGUUUUUUGAAAAACGUCGUGAAAUCUCUUAUAAUUUUUACUUUUUGAGCAAAUUUAAUUAUCCCAUCUUGUUUUGUGUGCCGUUAUUACAAAAUUGUGAAAUAACAUUUAUUUGUGAGGGAAGAGGCAAGACUUCUCUGAUCAAAGCAGAGGCGUGACUUCAGAGAACAGAGCGUGACUUUUGAGAGAGAGAGAGAGAGAGUCAGAGAGAGAAAUCAAGGCCUUGGAUCUUCCAUCUCCAUCGAUUCUUUGGUUGUAUGAUCUGGAAACUCUUGUUCUACACUUGAUUUGAAUGUUUGUCUGUAAUAUCGUUUGAAUCCCUCUUAUCUAAGUCGAUCUAGGGCUCAAGGUUAGAGUUUUUUUAUAUGGAUUUACUACAUUCACACAAGAUCCGUAGACUUUCAUGGCUUAAACUAACGAUUUAUAGUUAAUUUCUAGUUUCUUUUCUUCUGUUUUGUAUUUUCUUUUUUCGAAUCGAUUUAUCUAGGUUUUGAGUGCCAUGUUAAUGUAUCUAAUCAUGUACAAGAUAAGCAAGCAGUGUUGGAUCUGGAUCGUUAGCAACAAUGAGUAGAAGCAAGCACAACGACGUAGAGAUGUAGAUCUUAUUCUCAGAUCUGCUCUCUAUCCGAUCAGAUCUGCUCUCUCUGUCUCUCCGACCUGCUAUUAUGAAAAUGUCAAAACAGUUUCUAAAAUUGGUGCUGGUGACUAGUUCGUUGGUGCUCUCCUAUGCAUGUUGAUGAUGACCGAUUUGUAGUUGAGAUUAUUGAUGAAAAGUCUUCGAUUAAAAAGUAUCAAAGAGAAAUAUCAAGCCUCAAACUAGAACUGGAUCAGUCAUGAGGAGAUUAUUAGCUUAAGACAACAGUUGGAAGAAGGUCAAGUGAAAAUGCAGUCAAGAUUAGAGGAAGAGGAGGAAGCCAAGGCUGCUCUAAUGAGUAGAAUACAAAGGCUAA